AAGAAUAGUAUAAAUAGAAGUGGCUGAAGUCCCUGCCUUUUACCCUUCUGGAGGAGAACACGAAUCUUUGGGAACUAGUUCAGGAAGGAUCUGGACUUACCUCAAUUGCUUUUGCUGCUUGUUCUUUUGUUUCAAAUUCCACAAACGCAAAUCCCUUUGGAUCUCCAGUAGACUUAUAAUGUGGUAUACUUAUAUAAACAACAUUGCCACAUUUCCCAAAUACUCUUUCAAUCCAGCUGUGAUUAACAUUUUUGGGAAGUAACUCCUAUUAUAAAUUAAAAGCAAUAUUAGAGUUUUUCACAAUCAGAAUGUCAAUAAAUUUUUAACUUAAUUAUAU
Long non-coding RNA from Homo sapiens (human), 337 nucleotides. Ensembl annotates it as miR-302/367 cluster host gene. Its record names the gene MIR302CHG. The record is from Ensembl. NCBI's taxonomy places the organism in Eukaryota, Metazoa, Chordata, Mammalia, Primates, Hominidae.